This 484-nucleotide ribosomal RNA is filed under the name uncultured bacterium. RNAcentral's name for it is "partial 16S ribosomal RNA". It matches the Rfam family "Bacterial small subunit ribosomal RNA", at positions 28 to 523 of the family's 1533-position model. The record is from RNAcentral.
GACGAACGCUGGCGGCGUGCUUAACACAUGCAAGUCGAACGAUGAAGCCGGAGCUUGCUCUGGUGAAUUAGUGGCGAACGGGUGAGUAACACGUGAGUAACCUGCCCUUGACUCUGGGAUAACUGCGGGAAACUGUAGCUAAUACCGGAUACGACCCUCGGAGGCAUCUCCUGGGGGUGGAAAGAAUUUCGGUCAAGGAUGGACUCGCGGCCUAUCGGCUAGUUGGUGAGGUAAAGGCUCACCAAGGCGACGACGGGUAGCCGGCCUGAGAGGGUGACCGGCCAUACUGGGACUGAGACACGGCCCAGACUCCUACGGGAGGCAGCAGUGGGGAAUAUUGCACAAUGGGCGCAAGCCUGAUGCAGCAGCGCCGCGUGAGGGAUGACGGCCUUCGGGUUGUAAACCUCUUUUAGCAGGGAAGAAGCGAAAGUGACGGUACCUGCAGAAAAAGCACCGGCUAACUACGUGCCAGCCGCCGCUGUAA